ACGCCUUAUACAUGCAAGUCGAACGAAGUAGCAAUACUUAGUGGCAGACGGGUGAGUAACAUGUAGGUAUCUUCCCUUUGGUGAGGAAUAACACGAGGAAACUUGUGCUAAUACCUCAUAAGUCUUUACGGAGAAAGCUUUAUGCGCCGAAGGAUGAGCCUGCACUUGAUUAGUUUGUUGGUGGGGUAAUGGCCUACCAAGACUUUGAUCUAUAGCUGAUCUGAGAGGAUGAUCAGCCACAUUGGGACUGAGACACGGCCCAAACUCCUACGGGAGGCAGCAGUAGGGAAUAUUGCACAAUGGAGGAAACUCUGAUGCAGCGAUGCCGCGUGAGUGAAGAAGGCCUUUGGGUUGUAAAGCUCUUUCGUCGGGGAAGAAAAUGACUGUACCCGAAUAAGAAGGUCCGGCUAACUUCGUGCCAGCAGCCGCGGUAAUACGAAGGGACCUAGCGUAGUUCGGAAUUACUGGGCUUAAAGAGUUCGUAGGUGGUUAAAAAAGUUGGUGGUGAAAUCCCAGAGCUUAACUCUGGAACUGCCAUCAAAACUUUUUAGCUAGAGUAUGAUAGAGGAAAGCAGAAUUUCUAGUGUAGAGGUGAAAUUCGUAGAUAUUAGAAAGAAUACCAAUUGCGAAGGCAGCUUUCUGGAUCAUUACUGACGCUGAGGAACGAAAGCAUGGGUAGCGAAGAGGAUUAGAUACCCUCGUAGUCCAUGCCGUAAACGAUGUGUGUUAGACGUUGGAAAUUUAUUUUCAGUGUCGCAGCGAAAGCGUUAAACACACCGCCUGGGGAGUACGACCGC
RNAcentral lists this ribosomal RNA (797 nucleotides) under uncultured Pelagibacteraceae bacterium. Its description in RNAcentral is "bacterial SSU rRNA". It matches the Rfam family "Bacterial small subunit ribosomal RNA", at positions 44 to 889 of the family's 1533-position model. The record is from RNAcentral. Lineage: Bacteria; Pseudomonadati; Pseudomonadota; Alphaproteobacteria; Candidatus Pelagibacterales; Candidatus Pelagibacteraceae.